CUUAGUUGCCAUCAUUCAGUUGGGCACUCUAAGUUGACUGCCGGUGACAAACCGGAGGAAGGUGGGGAUGACGUCAAAUCAUCAUGCCCCUUAUGAUUUGGGCUACACACGUGCUACAAUGGACAAUACAAAGGGCAGCGAAACCGCGAGGUCAAGCAAAUCCCAUAAAGUUGUUCUCAGUUCGGAUUGUAGUCUGCAACUCGACUACAUGAAGCUGGAAUCGCUAGUAAUCGUAGAUCAGCAUGCUACGGUGAAUACGUUCCCGGGUCUUGUACACACCGCCCGUCACACCACGAGAGUUUUUAACACCCGAAGCCGGUGGAGUAACCAUUUUGGAGCUAGCCGUCGAAGGUGGGACAAAUGAUUGGGGUGAAGUCGUAACAAGGUAGCCGUAUCGGAAGGUGCGGCUGGAUCACCUCCUUU
This 423-nucleotide ribosomal RNA is filed under the name Staphylococcus pseudintermedius. RNAcentral's name for it is "bacterial SSU rRNA". It matches the Rfam family "Bacterial small subunit ribosomal RNA", at positions 1110 to 1533 of the family's 1533-position model. The record is from RNAcentral. Lineage: Bacteria; Bacillati; Bacillota; Bacilli; Caryophanales; Staphylococcaceae.